This 739-nucleotide ribosomal RNA is filed under the name Lodderomyces parapsilosis. Its description in RNAcentral is "eukaryotic LSU rRNA". The stretch from base 420 to 739 matches the Rfam family "Eukaryotic large subunit ribosomal RNA", at positions 1 to 317 of the family's 3401-position model. The record is from RNAcentral. Lineage: Eukaryota; Fungi; Ascomycota; Pichiomycetes; Serinales; Debaryomycetaceae.
CUUAACUGCAUUUUUUCUUACACAUGUGUUUUUCUUUUUUUGAAAACUUUGCUUUGGUAGGCCUUCUAUAUGGGGCCUGCCAGAGAUUAAACUCAACCAAAUUUUAUUUAAUGUCAACCGAUUAUUUAAUAGUCAAAACUUUCAACAACGGAUCUCUUGGUUCUCGCAUCGAUGAAGAACGCAGCGAAAUGCGAUAAGUAAUAUGAAUUGCAGAUAUUCGUGAAUCAUCGAAUCUUUGAACGCACAUUGCGCCCUUUGGUAUUCCAAAGGGCAUGCCUGUUUGAGCGUCAUUUCUCCCUCAAACCCUCGGGUUUGGUGUUGAGCGAUACGCUGGGUUUGCUUGAAAGAAAGGCGGAGUAUAAACUAAUGGAUAGGUUUUUUCCACUCAUUGGUACAAACUCCAAAACUUCUUCCAAAUUCGACCUCAAAUCAGGUAGGACUACCCGCUGAACUUAAGCAUAUCAAUAAGCGGAGGAAAAGAAACCAACAGGGAUUGCCUUAGUAGCGGCGAGUGAAGCGGCAAAAGCUCAAAUUUGAAAUCUGGCACUUUCAGUGUCCGAGUUGUAAUUUGAAGAAGGUAUCUUUGGGUCUGGCUCUUGUCUAUGUUUCUUGGAACAGAACGUCACAGAGGGUGAGAAUCCCGUGCGAUGAGAUGUCCCAGACCUAUGUAAAGUUCCUUCGAAGAGUCGAGUUGUUUGGGAAUGCAGCUCUAAGUGGGUGGUAAAUUCCAUCUAAAGCU